AUUGCUCCAAUUUCCAUCGACUCUGUUUUCCCCAGCCUUGAGGUCUCCUUCCUCCCCUAUAAAAAGCUCAUCACUGCCUGUCAUCCUCACUCUCUACGCUCCUCAACGAGGCAACACUCCCUCGCUCUUACCUCCGCGCGUCUCUUUAGCUCCGGAGCAUCGCGCUGCCAACAUGAGGUUUAUCGCGUCUGGUGCCUUGUUGCUGCUGCUGCUGUGUGUUGUGGCCGAAUCAGAGUGUUCAAGCUACGUACCGUGGAGGUGCCCCCCAGUGAAUCCUCACACUCAAUGCAUCCACUACUACAAUAACUGCAUACUGUACAAGCCUUUCUCCUGUCGUCGUGGCGAACAAUGCUGUCCCGGACCGUGCGGUACCCAGUGUGUCCCGAUUUAUUACCAUUGAAGCAUUCCUCCAUGACGAAGGUCUCGUGUGCUGCGGUGCCUCCUCUAUAGUAAACCCACCAUGAGCUGCCGCCGCCGCCGCCGCUGCCCCACACUACAGUCAACAAUUAUGGUUUAUAAUCUAAGCUUUCAAGGAUAAAAUGUAGACAUGAUAUUGUACUGACCAUCGAAAAAAAUAAUAAUAAAUAAAAUUAUUUA
Long non-coding RNA from Scylla paramamosain (green mud crab), 597 nucleotides. RefSeq lists it as uncharacterized. The transcript has 4 exons. NCBI's taxonomy places the organism in Eukaryota, Metazoa, Arthropoda, Malacostraca, Decapoda, Portunidae. The record is from RefSeq and is a predicted model, not a curated record.